RNAcentral lists this ribosomal RNA (460 nucleotides) under uncultured bacterium. RNAcentral's name for it is "partial 16S ribosomal RNA". It matches the Rfam family "Bacterial small subunit ribosomal RNA", at positions 338 to 795 of the family's 1533-position model. The record is from RNAcentral.
CCUACGGGCGGCAGCAGUGAGGAAUAUUGGUCAAUGGACGAGAGUCUGAACCAGCCAAGUAGCGUGAAGGAUGACUGCCCUAUGGGUUGUAAACUUCUUUUAUAUGGGAAUAAAACAGGGUAUGCAUACCCUCUUGUAUGUACCAUAUGAAUAAGGAUCGGCUAACUCCGUGCCAGCAGCCGCGGUAAUACGGAGGAUCCGAGCGUUAUCCGGAUUUAUUGGGUUUAAAGGGUGCGUAGGUGGAUUGUUAAGUCAGGUGUGAAAGUUUGCGGCGUAACCGUAGAAUUGCAGUUGAAACUGGCAGUCUUGAGUACACUAGAGGUAGGCGGAAUGCGUGGUGUAGCGGUGAAAUGCUUAGAUAUCACGAAGAACUCCGAUUGCGAAGGCAGCUCACUGGACUGCAACUGACACUGAUGCACGAAAGUGUGGGUAUCGAACAGGAUUAGAUACCCUUGUAGUC